CGCCGGGUAGCUAAGUGUGGACGGGAUAACCGCUGAAAGCAUCUAAGCGGGAAACCCACCUCAAAACUAGAUCUCCCUGAGAGCCGUGAUAGACCAUCACGUUGAUAGGCCAGGUGUGGAAGCGCAGUAAUGCGUGCAGCUAACUGGUCCUAAUCGCUCUAUAGGCUCACUCUC
RNAcentral lists this ribosomal RNA (174 nucleotides) under Wolbachia endosymbiont of Drosophila chauvacae. RNAcentral describes it as "partial 23S ribosomal RNA". It matches the Rfam family "Bacterial large subunit ribosomal RNA", at positions 2739 to 2925 of the family's 2925-position model. Lineage: Bacteria; Pseudomonadati; Pseudomonadota; Alphaproteobacteria; Rickettsiales; Anaplasmataceae. The record is from RNAcentral.